AGUACCAACCGCACUUGCAAUUUCCUUCAAGGUUCUCUCCCGCCAAUACUCAUGCGGUAACUCCACCAAGCGAAUCCAAAGAGAUACAUGAGUUUGUUUCUGAGCUAGAUAUUUGAAAGCUUUGGUCCAUUGUGAUAACUGUAACAAACCCGGCUUGAGGUUAAUUGUGCCUACUGCUCAUAUCUUUCUUAGAUCGUCAGUCGUGUCAAAAUGAAAGUCAUAGUAACCUUUGCCGAGAGGCACCAUUUUCCAACCAGACGAUGUUUUCCAAAUCUUUCCGAUUUUAUCGCUCAAGUCACAUGCAGAGUAUGGCUUAUCUCCCUUGUUAAGAGUCAAACGAGCCCUUAACACAUUCUUGCAUUCAUCUACACCCCUAUGGUAGUCUUCCUGGAAGAUCUUGAUACUCAAAGCAUCUCCCUUAAAGCAUGGAGUAGGUAGAGGUCUGUCAUCAAUCACUUUUGAACCCGCUAGGGCUGCUGCAAAUUAUUUUAGUUGUCACUAAAUUUGGUGGCACCGUUGUUGUUGAAGUAGCUGAUGUGAAAGGUGCGGUGUCGGACACACGGCCAUGGGCACGUGAAUGGCAUCUGGGGCCUGAGUGCAAUUCACCUGACUAAUUCUAGGUCUCAAAAUUGACAAUUGAAAUUGACGUGAAAAACUAAUUUGUGUUGCGAUUGUUUUCAUAAAGCACCGAACCCAAUGAACCCCCAUUGACUGGACUAAUUAAUCAAUUGUUUGAAGGCAAAAAAUUGAAUACAUAAAAUGGCACCUUCGUGAAUCAACAAAUGGAUAAUUGAUAGAAACAAAAAG
Molecule: long non-coding RNA, 807 nt
Filed under: Medicago truncatula (barrel medic)
Lineage: Eukaryota; Viridiplantae; Streptophyta; Magnoliopsida; Fabales; Fabaceae
Description: long non-coding RNA (MTRU_LNC001061)
Source: RNAcentral